This 301-nucleotide ribosomal RNA is filed under the name uncultured bacterium. Its description in RNAcentral is "partial 16S ribosomal RNA". It matches the Rfam family "Bacterial small subunit ribosomal RNA", at positions 509 to 807 of the family's 1533-position model. The record is from RNAcentral.
CAGCCGCCGCGGUAAAACGGAGGGUGCAAGCGUUAAUCGGAAUUACUGGGCGUAAAGCGCACGCAGGCGGUCUGACAAGUCAGAUGUGAAAUCCCCGGGCUUAACCUGGGAACUGCAUUUGAAACUGUCAGGCUGGAGUCUUGUAGAGGGGGGUGGAAUUCCAGGUGUAGCGGUGAAAUGCGUAGAGAUCUGGAGGAAUACCGGUGGCGAAGGCGGCCCCCUGGACAAAGACUGACGCUCAGGUGCGAAAGCGUGGGGAGCAAACAGGAUUAGAUACCCCAGUAGUCCCUGUCUCUUAUAC